UACGGGGGGGGCAAGCGUUGUUCGGAAUUACUGGGCGUAAAGGGCUCGUAGGCGGCCAACUAAGUCCGACGUGAAAUCCCAAGGCUUAACCUUGGAACUGCGUCGGAUACUGGAUGGCUUGAAUUCGGGAGAGGGAUGCAGAAUUCCAGGUGUAGCGGUGAAAUGCGUAGAUAUCCGGAAGAACACCGGUGGCGAAGGCGGUCUGCUGGGCAGUAGCUGACACUGAGGCGCGACAGCGUGGGGAGCAAACAGG
This 253-nucleotide ribosomal RNA is filed under the name uncultured bacterium. RNAcentral's name for it is "partial 16S ribosomal RNA". It matches the Rfam family "Bacterial small subunit ribosomal RNA", at positions 524 to 776 of the family's 1533-position model. The record is from RNAcentral.